This 377-nucleotide ribosomal RNA is filed under the name uncultured bacterium. RNAcentral's name for it is "bacterial SSU rRNA". It matches the Rfam family "Bacterial small subunit ribosomal RNA", at positions 523 to 898 of the family's 1533-position model. The record is from RNAcentral.
AAACGUAGGAGGCGAGCGUUAUCCGGAUUUACUGGGCGUAAAGGGCAAGUAGGCGGUGGUCAAAGUUGGGCGUGACAGAUCCUGGCUUAACUGGGAGAGGUCGUUCAAAACUAGAUCACUAGAGGGCAGGAGAGGGGAGCGGAAUUCCUAGUGUAGCGGUGGAAUGCUCAGAUAUUAGGAAGAACACCAGUGGCGAAAGCGGCUUUCUGGCCUGCACCUGACGCUAAGGGGCGAAAGCUAGGGGAGCGAACGGGCUUAGAUACCCCGGUAGUCCUAGCUGUAAACGUUGGAUACUGGGUAUUGGGGGUUAUGAAACCUUCAGUGCCGAAGCGAACGCGUUAAGUAUCCCGCCUGGGGACUACGGCCGCAAGGUUAAA